RNAcentral lists this ribosomal RNA (487 nucleotides) under uncultured bacterium. RNAcentral's name for it is "bacterial SSU rRNA". It matches the Rfam family "Bacterial small subunit ribosomal RNA", at positions 28 to 507 of the family's 1533-position model. The record is from RNAcentral.
GAUGAACGCUAGCGGCAGGCUUAACACAUGCAAGUCGAGGGGUAACAUAGAAAAGCUUGCUUUUCUGAUGACGACCGGCGCACGGGUGCGUAACGCGUAUACAACCUACCUUUUAGCGGGGAAUAGCCCAGGGAAACUUGGAUUAAUGCCCCAUAGUAUAUGGACUUCUCCUGAAGUUUAUAUUAAACAUUUAUGGCUAUUAGAUGGGUAUGCGUCCUAUUAGUUAGUUGGUAAGGUAACGGCUUACCAAGGCAGCGAUAGGUAGGGGUCCUGAGAGGGAGAUCCCCACACUGGUACUGAGACACGGACCAGACUCCUACGGGAGGCAGCAGUGAGGAAUAUUGGACAAUGGGCGAGAGCCUGAUCCAGCCAUGCCGCGUGCAGGAAGACUGCCCUAUGGGUUGUAAACUGCUUUUACAGAGGAAGAACCACCCCCACGUGUGGGGGUUUGACGGUACUCUGCGAAUAAGGAUCGGCUAACUCCGUG